UACGUAGGGUGCAAGCGUUAAUCGGAAUUACUGGGCGUAAAGCGUGCGCAGGCGGUGAUGUAAGACAGUUGUGAAAUCCCCGGGCUCAACCUGGGAACUGCAUCUGUGACUGCAUCGCUGGAGUGCGGCAGAGGGGGAUGGAGUUCCGCGUGUAGCAGUGAAAUGCGUAGAUAUGCGGAGGAACACCGAUGGCGAAGGCAAUCCCCUGGGCCUGCACUGACGCUCAUGCACGAAAGCGUGGGGAGCAAACAGG
This 253-nucleotide ribosomal RNA is filed under the name uncultured bacterium. RNAcentral describes it as "partial 16S ribosomal RNA". It matches the Rfam family "Bacterial small subunit ribosomal RNA", at positions 524 to 776 of the family's 1533-position model. The record is from RNAcentral.